GAUCGACUGGCCCAGUGGUCAAGGCGUCCGCUUUACAAACAAAUCGCGGAAGAUCGCAGGUUCGAACCCUGCGUUGAUCA
This 80-nucleotide transfer RNA is filed under the name Uncinocarpus reesii 1704. It matches the Rfam family "tRNA". From Rfam's summary of the family: Transfer RNA (tRNA) molecules are approximately 80 nucleotides in length. Their secondary structure includes four short double-helical elements and three loops (D, anti-codon, and T loops). Further hydrogen bonds mediate the characteristic L-shaped molecular structure. tRNAs have two regions of fundamental functional importance: the anti-codon, which is responsible for specific mRNA codon recognition, and the 3' end, to which the tRNAs corresponding amino acid is attached (by aminoacyl-tRNA synthetases). tRNAs cope with the degeneracy of the genetic code in two manners: having more than one tRNA (with a specific anti-codon) for a particular amino acid; and 'wobble' base-pairing, i.e. permitting non-standard base-pairing at the 3rd anti-codon position. The record is from Rfam by way of RNAcentral. Lineage: Eukaryota; Fungi; Ascomycota; Eurotiomycetes; Onygenales; Onygenaceae.